RNAcentral lists this long non-coding RNA (349 nucleotides) under Olea europaea subsp. europaea. Lineage: Eukaryota; Viridiplantae; Streptophyta; Magnoliopsida; Lamiales; Oleaceae. The record is from RNAcentral.
CAAACACUUCAAGUGAAAAUUUGGAUGAAAAACUGAUAUUUUCCAUGGAAAAUAAAUAUAAUCAAACACAACAUAAGUCCAGCAAUUCUAGCAACACAUCAAGCGUAACAAAAGAAGUUAAAAACAAAAGGCGCUGUGAAAAAAGAAAACAACGUGGAAUUCAACUCCUUCUCUAUGCAAAUCAAUCGUGUUCAGAAAAAUCAGAAAAUCAAACCCACAAAUACUGAAGAAAAACUCCUCCAAAUCGAUUAAUGAAAUUCAAUAAUAUAGAAUCCAGUUAAUAAUAAUAAUAAUAAUAAUAAUAAUAAUAAUAAUAAUAAUUAAAUUAAAGAGUAAAAAAUAUUAAAAU